GACGAACGCUGGCGGCGUGCUUAACACAUGCAAGUCGAACGGAAAGGCCCUGCUUUUGUGGGGUGCUCGAGUGGCGAACGGGUGAGUAACACGUGAGUAACCUGCCCUUGACUUUGGGAUAACUUCAGGAAACUGGGGCUAAUACCGGAUAGGAGCUCCUGCUGCAUGGUGGGGGUUGGAGAGUUUCGGCGGUUGGGGAUGGACUCGCGGCUUAUCAGCUUGUUGGUGGGGUAGUGGCUUACCAAGGCUUUGACGGGUAGCCGGCCUGAGAGGGUGACCGGCCACAUUGGGACUGAGAUACGGCCCAGACUCCUACGGGAGGCAGCAGUGGGGAAUAUUGCACAAUGGGCGGAAGCCUGAUGCAGCAACGCCGCGUGCGGGAUGACGGCCUUCGGGUUGUAAACCGCUUUCGCCUGUGACGAAGCGUGAGUGACGGUAAUGGGUAAAGAAGCACCGGCUAACUACGUGCCAGCAGCCGCGGUGAUACGUAGGGUGCGAGCGUUGUCCGGAUUUAUUGGGCGUAAAGGGCUCGUAGGUGGUUGAUCGCGUCGGAAGUGUAAUCUUGGGGCUUAACCCUGAGCGUGCUUUCGAUACGGGUUGACUUGAGGAAGGUAGGGGAGAAUGGAAUUCCUGGUGGAGCGGUGGAAUGCGCAGAUAUCAGGAGGAACACCAGUGGCGAAGGCGGUUCUCUGGGCCUUUCCUGACGCUGAGGAGCGAAAGCGUGGGGAGCGAACAGGCUUAGAUACCCUGGUAGUCCACGCUGUAAACGGUGGGUACUAGGUGUGGGGUCCAUUCCACGGGUUCCGUGCCGUAGCUAACGCUUUAAGUACCCCGCCUGGGGAGUACGGCCGCAAGGCUAAAACUCAAAGGAAUUGACGGGGCCCCGCACAAGCGGCGGAGCAUGCGGAUUAAUUCGAUGCAACGCGUAGAACCUUACCUGGGUUUGACAUGGAUCGGGAGUGCUCAGAGAUGGGUGUGCCUCUUUUGGGGUCGGUUCACAGGUGGUGCAUGGCUGUCGUCAGCUCGUGUCGUGAGAUGUUGGGUUAAGUCCCGCAACGAGCGCAACCCUUGUUCACUGUUGCCAGCACGUUAUGGUGGGGACUCAGUGGAGACCGCCGGGGUCAACUCGGAGGAAGGUGGGGAUGACGUCAAGUCAUCAUGCCCCUUAUGUCCAGGGCUUCACGCAUGCUACAAUGGCUGGUACAGAGAGUGGCGAGCCUGUGAGGGUGAGCGAAUCUCGGAAAGCCGGUCUCAGUUCGGAUUGGGGUCUGCAACUCGACCUCAUGAAGUCGGAGUCGCUAGUAAUCGCAGAUCAGCAACGCUGCGGUGAAUACGUUCCCGGG
RNAcentral lists this ribosomal RNA (1343 nucleotides) under uncultured bacterium. RNAcentral describes it as "16S ribosomal RNA". It matches the Rfam family "Bacterial small subunit ribosomal RNA", at positions 28 to 1378 of the family's 1533-position model. The record is from RNAcentral.